Molecule: long non-coding RNA, 224 nt
Filed under: Elaeis guineensis (African oil palm)
Lineage: Eukaryota; Viridiplantae; Streptophyta; Magnoliopsida; Arecales; Arecaceae
Description: long non-coding RNA (EGUI_LNC051371)
Source: RNAcentral
UGACGUGCAUACGAAGUAAAGAGUCUACACAUCCAGACCUCCAUAAAGAUUUAUAUCAGAUAAUUUAAAAUUUGAUCUCUAGUUCUACUAUAUUUCAGGUAAGAAUUUGAUCAUUAAACAAGUAGAAUAUUAAAAAUUUUUAGAUGCAACUUGGGCAUCUCAGAGAGAAACUGUUUCCCUUCCCAUCAACUAGUAUCAGAGCAGGCCUAAAAUAUAUGUAUACA